GAACGGCAGCACGGGGGCAACCCUGGUGGCGAGUGGCGAACGGGUGAGUAAUACAUCGGAACGUGUCCUGUAGUGGGGGAUAGCCCGGCGAAAGCCGGAUUAAUACCGCAUACGAUCUACGGAAGAAAGCGGGGGAUCUUCGGACCUCGCGCUGCAGGGGCGGCCGAUGGCAGAUUAGCUAGUUGGUGGGGUAAAGGCCUACCAAGGCGACGAUCUGUAGCUGGUCUGAGAGGACGACCAGCCACACUGGGACUGAGACACGGCCCAGACUCCUACGGGAGGCAGCAGUGGGGAAUUUUGGACAAUGGGGGCAACCCUGAUCCAGCAAUGCCGCGUGUGUGAAGAAGGCCUUCGGGUUGUAAAGCACUUUUGUCCGGAAAGAAAACCAUCGCCCUAAUAUGGUGGUGGGAUGACGGUACCGGAAGAAUAAGCACCGGCUAACUACGUG
RNAcentral lists this ribosomal RNA (448 nucleotides) under uncultured bacterium. Its description in RNAcentral is "bacterial SSU rRNA". It matches the Rfam family "Bacterial small subunit ribosomal RNA", at positions 64 to 507 of the family's 1533-position model. The record is from RNAcentral.